UAUGUGAUCGUCUCUCGCAUAUCAAUAAGCGGAGGAAAAGAAACUAACAAGGAUUCCCCUAGUAACGGCGAGUGAAGCGGGAAGAGCUUAAAUUUGAAAUCUUAAAGGGUUUCCCUUUACGAAUUGUAGUUUAAAGAAGUGUUUUCUGUUGAGGUUUUGGUAAAAGUUCUUUGGAAUAGGACAUCAUAGAGGGUGAGAAUCCCGUAUUUGACCUUUACUUUCAACUUUGUGAUACACUUUCAAAGAGUCGGAUUGUUUGGGAAUGCAGUCCAAAAUGGGUGGUAAAUUUCAUCUAAAGCUAAAUAUUGGCGAGAGACCGAUAGCGAACAAGUACCGUGAGGGAAAGAUGAAAAGGAACUUUGUAAAGAGAGUUAAACAGUACGUGAAGUUGUCAAAAGGGAAGCGUUUGACACCAGUGUUGUUUUUCUGAAAAUCAAUUAAAGAACUGUUUAUGCUAAGUUGUUUAGACUUUAUCAGCUAACUGUUUAGUUUUGAGCUUUUCUUUAAUGCACUUUUCAGUUAACAAGUCAACAUCAAUUUCUUUUGCUGUAAAAAAGCUUGAGGAAGGUGGCUUGAGAUUCGUCUUAAGUGUUUAUAGCCUCUUGCCUAUGCAGUCGGAGAGAUUGAGGUCUGCAGCGUAGAUCCUUCGGGGCUAAAUGCAUUUGUGCUAAGUUAUAGCAUUUUAUAGACAACUUGUUGACUAUGAUUUGUCUUGUAGCUUACUCGCUUAUGUUAUUUUACCUACGCUUAGGAUGUUGAUAUGCAUGACUGAUAU
RNAcentral lists this ribosomal RNA (775 nucleotides) under uncultured Neocallimastigales. RNAcentral's name for it is "partial large subunit ribosomal RNA". It matches the Rfam family "Eukaryotic large subunit ribosomal RNA", at positions 24 to 636 of the family's 3401-position model. The record is from RNAcentral. Lineage: Eukaryota; Fungi; Neocallimastigomycota; Neocallimastigomycetes; Neocallimastigales.